Pleuronectes platessa (European plaice) is the source of this 657-nucleotide long non-coding RNA. RefSeq lists it as uncharacterized. The transcript has 2 exons. The record is from RefSeq and is a predicted model, not a curated record. NCBI's taxonomy places the organism in Eukaryota, Metazoa, Chordata, Actinopteri, Pleuronectiformes, Pleuronectidae.
CUUUGAUUUGAUUUAGAUUUUGAUUUUGAUUUCCAGAUCAUUUAUGGGACUGGAUGCUCGGACUCGGACUGGGAUGCUCGGACUGGUCUGCAGCUCGGAGUUUCAAUUGUUUGAACUCUGGAUCAUAACUGAACGAACUGUCGCUCAGAUGCUGCAGCUCGUAGUGAGUCACAAACACACAACCUCACAUGCUCUUUUCUUUGUACCACUAAAAUUAAAUUAAGAAUGUGUUGAGUUGUUACUGUUGUCCAGCAGAGGGCAGCACAGACCCGCUGAUGCUAACUUCAAACCUUUGUCAAAAGGACGUGAUCGAAACUUCGUGUAAAACUUUUAGAACGUUGAGGAUUUUAGUUUUAAGCCGAAACAAAUAAUCAUCUUUCUUAAGUAAAAUCAACAUCUCACAGUAACACCCAGCAACGAGUAUCAUCAAUCAAUCAAAUUUUAUUUGUAUAGCCCAUAUUCACAAAUUACAAUUCGUCUCAUAGGGCUUUAACGCGCACACAAUGUAACACACACAGACACACACAUGAUUCAUGGAUCUCUUCAUACAUUAGAGGCUGGAACAGUGGAAGCAGAACUCCAGGUUUGUGAGGACUUCACGUAGACGGUUGUUUUUCUUAUUAAACUUUAAUCUCAUUUAAAACGAUAAUUAUAAAA